GAUGAACGCUGGCGGCGUGCCUAAUACAUGCAAGUCGAACGAAACUUCUUUAUCACCGAGUGCUUGCACUCACCGAUAAAGAGUUGAGUGGCGAACGGGUGAGUAACACGUGGGCAACCUGCCCAAAAGAGGGGGAUAACACUUGGAAACAGGUGCUAAUACCGCAUAACCAUAGUUACCGCAUGGUAACUAUGUAAAAGGUGGCUAUACUACCGCUUUUGGAUGGGCCCGCGGCGCAUUAGCUAGGUGGUAGGGUAAAGGCUUACCAAGGCAAUGAUGCGUAGCCGAAUUGAGAGGUUGAUCGGCCACAUUGGGACUGAGACACGGCCCAAACUCCUACGGGAGGCAGCAGUAGGGAAUCUUCCACAAUGGGCGAAAGCCUGAUGGAGCAACGCCGCGUGGGUGAAGAAGGUCUUCGGAUCGUAAAACCCUGUUGUUAGAGAAGAAAGUGCGUGAGAGUAACUGUUCACGUUUCGACGGUAUCUAACCAGAAAGCCACUGCUAACUACGUG
Molecule: ribosomal RNA, 512 nt
Filed under: uncultured bacterium
Lineage: Bacteria
Description: partial 16S ribosomal RNA
Rfam family: Bacterial small subunit ribosomal RNA
Source: RNAcentral